RNAcentral lists this ribosomal RNA (403 nucleotides) under bacterium. RNAcentral's name for it is "partial 16S ribosomal RNA". It matches the Rfam family "Bacterial small subunit ribosomal RNA", at positions 355 to 776 of the family's 1533-position model. The record is from RNAcentral.
UGGGGAAUAUUGCACAAUGGAGGGAACUCUGAUGCAGCGACGCCGCGUGAACGAAGAAGGCUUUCGAGUCGUAAAGUUCUUUUAUAUGGGAAGAUAAUGACGGUACCAUAAGAAAAAGCCCCGGCUAACUACGUGCCAGCAGCCGCGGUAAUACGUAGGGGGCUAGCGUUGUCCGGAAUCACUGGGCGUAAAGGGUUCGCAGGCGGAAAUGCAAGUCAGGUGUAAAAGGCAGUAGCUUAGCUACUGUAAGCAUUUGAAACUGCAUAUCUUGAGAAGAGUAGAGGUAAGUGGAAUUUUUAGUGUAGCGGUGAAAUGCGUAGAUAUUAAAAAGAAUACCGGUGGCGAAGGCGGCUUACUGGGCUCAUUCUGACGCUGAGGAACGAAAGCGUGGGUAGCAAACAGG